GACGAACGCUGGCGGCGUGCUUAACACAUGCAAGUCGAACGGAAAGGCCCUGCUUUUGUGGGGUGCUCGAGUGGCGAACGGGUGAGUAACACGUGAGUAACCUGCCCUUGACUUUGGGAUAACUUCAGGAAACUGGGGCUAAUACCGGAUAGGAGCUCCUGCUGCAUGGUGGGGGUUGGAAAGUUUCGGCGGUUGGGGAUGGACUCGCGGCUUAUCAGCUUGUUGGUGGGGUAGUGGCUUACCAAGGCUUUGAUGGGUAGCCGGCCUGAGAGGGUGACCGGCCACAUUGGGACUGAGAUACGGCCCAGACUCCUCCGGGAGGCAGCAGUGGGGAAUAUUGCACAAUGGGCGGAAGCCUGAUGCAGCAACGCCGCGUGCGGGAUGACGGCCUUCGGGUUGUAAACCGCUUUCGCCUGUGACGAAGCGUGAGUGACGGUAAUGGGUAAAGAAGCACCGGCUAACUACGUG
RNAcentral lists this ribosomal RNA (468 nucleotides) under uncultured bacterium. Its description in RNAcentral is "partial 16S ribosomal RNA". It matches the Rfam family "Bacterial small subunit ribosomal RNA", at positions 28 to 507 of the family's 1533-position model. The record is from RNAcentral.